Mus musculus (house mouse) is the source of this 477-nucleotide long non-coding RNA. RefSeq annotates it as predicted gene, 45964. NCBI's taxonomy places the organism in Eukaryota, Metazoa, Chordata, Mammalia, Rodentia, Muridae. The record is from RefSeq and is a predicted model, not a curated record. The transcript is spliced from 5 exons.
CACAGAUGUUCCUCAAUGGAAGAAUGGAUACAGAAAGUGUGACUCUAAUACUGUCAGCAAGUGCAUGGAUGCAGAGUCAUCUACUGGAUCAUGGGUAGCCUCUAGAGGAUGAUAUCUGAAAAUAACAUACUGUCCUUCUCUAAAGACCGAUUUAUUUCAAAUAACUUUUAAGCUACUGGUGGGAUUUCUCCUUAUCCUCCUCCUUCCAUGCAAGAUCAUCCUCACGUCUUGUGAAUUCUGCCAGAACUACUCUGUCAGGUGCAUCUAGGAAAGGAUGAAGCUUGCAGGUAUUUUCCUGAGAUGUCCAAAAUUUUGCAUAGACUAUGAUGGAUGAGCUCCGGAGAUGCUUCUCUGAAAUAUGUUUGAGAAUGCCGAAGAACAGUUAUACAAAUCAGAUUCAGCUCCAAUCCAUUUUCUUUUCAAAGAAGAGCAGACCUUCAAGAGACUACAGUGAAACAGGACAAAAGAAGAAACAAU